Non-coding RNA from Myotis brandtii (Brandt's bat), 104 nucleotides. The record is from Rfam. Lineage: Eukaryota; Metazoa; Chordata; Mammalia; Chiroptera; Vespertilionidae.
GUGCUCCCUUCAGCAGCACAUUUACCAAAAUCCGAACAACACAGAGAUUAGCAUGGCCCCUGCACAAGGAUGACACACAAAUUCGUGAAGCAUUCCAUGAUUUU